Molecule: ribosomal RNA, 1674 nt
Filed under: Triticum aestivum (bread wheat)
Lineage: Eukaryota; Viridiplantae; Streptophyta; Magnoliopsida; Poales; Poaceae
Description: partial small subunit ribosomal RNA
Source: RNAcentral
AUGGCCCCCUCCGCCGGCGACGCCGCCGCCGUUCCGCGGUACCCUGCUUGGGUUCUCCUCGAAAAGGAGGGGUACGACGACGACCGCGAUGACGCCACCAGCGCUUCGUGCAAGACGACCGCCGGCCGCGACGUCAAGUUGGGCUUCUACCUCGUGCCCCCGCCGGAGAUCUCCUACUUCCACGUCCACCUCUCCAAGCUCGAGGGCGAGGACGAGGACGACUUCGACUUCACGCCCCUGUUUCUCUUCUCGGCCAAGGGCCUCGUCCUCUUCCGUAUCCUCUUCGUCACAGGAAGCGACGGAAGCAAUCUCGUCGAGUACUUCAUCUACAAGGCCGGGCGCGGCGGCGGCCCGUCGCUCGAACCCAUCCCGCCGACUCCUCUAGGCAGCAGCAGUGAUUCGGUGUCCGUGAGCAUCGUCCCCUGCCCCGACGGCGACGACGGCGAGGACAGCUACGUCCUCGCCGAUCUCUCUGUGGGGAGUGAAAUUGGGCUCUACGACCUCCACAUUUACUCGUCCAAGACGCGCGAGUGGAACACCACACCGUUGCAGCUGCCGGCGUCUCCUGCCGUCAGGACAAAUGACGACCUGCCCUGUCAAUUCCACAAGGCUAUCGGGCUUGCAGCGGACGAGGUAGGCUGGGUAGACCUCUGGCGUGGCAUUGUCACCUGCAAGGUGCUUGAUAAAGACCCACUUCUCCGACUCAUCCCUCUUCCCAAACCGCACGUGGACAUCCUGCAAGGCGAACCGGGGUUGAUCCGGGAUGUCACCUACUGUAAUGGGCUCUUCGAGUUCGUUGAGAUGCAACUUUUUUGCAGACCAGUUAAUGUUGUUAGUAGUAUCAUCCAUGAUUCCAGGCCCCUCCUUGGUCUUGUAGUGGAUGAAGGUAUUACGGUCCCUGAUGGUUGGGUCAUCCGGACAUGCUGUAGGGUUGAUCCAUCGGACUUUCGGUUCAGGGCAUACACUGUUCAUGUUGAUGACUUCGCAGUGGAUUCUACUAUAUCGUUCCCUCAGAUGUGGGAUGCUUGUGCUCACGACAAGGAAUCGACAUUUAGGAACCUGACAACACAUUGCCCGACCUUUGGCGUUCCUGGUGACAGACUUGUCUACCUGCUAUCCAAGGUGAAAAUGGAUGAUGACAACACAUGGAUUGUUGGUGUUGACCUUGCCAAGAAGAUGGUGAAACUAAUUCAACCCUGUGAUGACUUGGGAUAUGCCUGUAUCCGACCAGCCUUUGUUCCCUCUACAUUCUCCUAUUAUCUGAAUACAAAUGCAGGUAAUUUUUCACCCACAUUGAUAAACCACUCAGAGAAGACUGCCAACAAUGCAAAAGUCGAUGGCGAUGGCGAUUCCUGUGUACGUGAAAUAAAUAUACAUCACGACCAAAGGUCAUGGGUUGGGGACGAAACAUCUGCACCAAGCGGAGCUUGGAAUUCUGGGGAGAACAAUCUGACACUGAAUCAUGAAUCUGCUGAUGUACAACGGACCAGGUUACUACAGGACUUGGAUUCCAUUUUGUUUGCAUCAGGAUCAGGGUAUAUUCCGAUGAAACAAGAACUGGAAACUGAUGCUGAUGGCAAUUCAUGGCUCUCUUUGCCACUGGAAGACCUCUUGUCACUGCUUCCACAACUAGGACCUGAUAUUGCAUCCUUGACAAGAAUUCUGUCUUGGCAU